This 98-nucleotide small RNA is filed under the name Pseudomonas sp. 9AZ. RNAcentral's name for it is "t44". It matches the Rfam family "t44 RNA". Rfam says of the family: This family consists of a number of bacterial RNA genes of between 135 and 170 bases in length. Lineage: Bacteria; Pseudomonadati; Pseudomonadota; Gammaproteobacteria; Pseudomonadales; Pseudomonadaceae. The record is from RNAcentral.
UGCCCGAAAGCUUAAACCCACACACGUAUCGACACGGUUUCCUGGGUGCCUGGCGACAAGUUCGCCGGGUUGGAGAUCGGGAUGCGUGGAGGCCUAAC